This 402-nucleotide long non-coding RNA is filed under the name Fukomys damarensis (Damara mole-rat). Its description in RNAcentral is "lncRNA (ENSFDAG00000026836.1)". The record is from RNAcentral. Lineage: Eukaryota; Metazoa; Chordata; Mammalia; Rodentia; Bathyergidae.
GGUCUUGAGUUCUAUCCCUGGUACCAAAAAAAACAAAAAAACUAGGAUGUUUUAAGUUUUUUCUAAUGUGUAUACAUUGGUAUUUUUGCCAUAGGAAUCCAGUGCCCUCUGUUGAGUGGAACUGAAGAUAUCCUAGGAACAGAUAAUUAAGGAAACACAGAGAGGAGCCGUGCUGAGAAAUGAGUGGUCAUCUGUGUGGCUCAGAAUACAGUGCAGCUGUGCAAAGACUGACCGCAAUCGCAAUGUAAACAGUGUAAGCAGGCUGAGGGUCGAAUCUACUGGGGAAAACAGAUUCCAUGGGACAGAGGUCUCCAGAAAAGCCUUGGCGGAUGGAUGGUGUUUUAACUAUCUCCUGCGAUCCUUAGAGUUUGUGCGAUUUCUUUUUCUUAUUGUGAACACCGA